Molecule: long non-coding RNA, 720 nt
Filed under: Ananas comosus (pineapple)
Lineage: Eukaryota; Viridiplantae; Streptophyta; Magnoliopsida; Poales; Bromeliaceae
Description: long non-coding RNA (ACOM_LNC028560)
Source: RNAcentral
AGAUCAAAAUACCUUUCCAAAUGUGGCAAAGGUGGCGAAUGCGACAAUAUGCCGUCGUUGGCGAUGACGAUGACGAUAUGCCGGUGCCAAUGUAUAAAUGUAAAUGAGAAAAUACUAAAAAAUAGAUAUACUAAAAUAGUAUAAAAGCAUAUUAAAAAAAAUUCAGUUUAGAUCAAAAUGCCUCUCCAAAUGUGGCAAAGGUGGCGAAGGCGACAACAUGCCGGUGUCGGCGAUGACGAUGACGAUAUGCCGGUGCUAGCGACGGGGACUAAUGAGAAAGGAUAUUAGUAAAAAAAAUAUUUGACAAUAUUUGAAAAAAAUACAGGUGAAAAUGAAAAAAGAUAUUACUAAAAAUAAUAUACUGAUGAUUUGCGCAAUUAAUGUGAGAGAUAAAAAGUCAUGAAGAUGCACACUUAUUAGCAUUUAAAAAUCUUAAAAAGUAAAACAAAGUAUACGAAAGACGAAUUGGGUAGGAAAUUAUAUUAUGACACAUUAAAAUGAAUUAGGUGUAGCAAAAUACCUUUCUAACUGUGGCGAAGGUGAUCGAGAACGACGAUGAGGAAUGAAUAAAAUAUUACUAAAAUAAUAUAUUUGAGAAAACAUAUAGUGAAAAUGAAAAAGGUUAUAUUUUAUUAUAUUUAAGAAACGUAUAGAUAGAGAUGAGAAAGUAUUAAAAUAAGAUAUAUUUUAUGUAUGGAUAAGUAUUAUGAUGAGAUAAAA